Non-coding RNA from Salmo salar (Atlantic salmon), 2912 nucleotides. Lineage: Eukaryota; Metazoa; Chordata; Actinopteri; Salmoniformes; Salmonidae. The record is from RefSeq and is a predicted model, not a curated record.
AACUCACUGAGUUACAAUAACACCAAUGGGAGGAACAUACUCACUUCUUGCCCAGAAACAGACUGAUUGUUUAUACUAGAAAUACAAGGAGGUGACUCCGCCUAUUCGGAAGGAUUCAGCACGAUCUGCAGUCAAACUAAAGAGUCCGAAUCAGUGUAACAGGAGCCGGCACAAAACAAGGUAGGCAAUGUUCCUACACCUGUUACCACUCAUUCUGACAUCUUGGGGAGACAAGCCUGGAUUUAUUCCGUAGUCCCAUGUACCGGCCAGUAGGAGUGUAGGAGUCCUAGGUGACAUUGUCAUUUGUGAGGUUUGUCCUAGAUGACUAUGGCAAAUUAUGUCUAAAAGGGUUUAGCCCCCUUAUAGGUUAGACUAGGCACUAGUGUGUGCCUAGGAAGGUUUAGCAACAUAGGUUAGACUAAGCACUGUGGGCACUAUAUGCUUAGGAGGGUUUAGCCCCCUAAUAGGUUAGACUAGGAGUUGGAGUCCCCUAGGAGGAUCGAGGGGAGUGGCCGUCCCUUAGACAUGUCUGUUUAAUUGUCUAUAUUGUCUGUGUGGUAUAUGGAGAAAUUCACACAUAUGUAUAAUAGUACAAUUUGUUGUAGAAAAGUAGUCCAUGUUGAAAGUCUCUGUCGUGUGGUAAUACCUGAUGUAUUAAUAGCCGGAAUGGGGUGUAGGUGUUUUCUGGCAGUAGUGUCGGUCAAUGAUGAGACAUUGUCAGUAAGUGGUAAUGUGUACAGUGAUCGAAAGUUGCAUGUAAGUUCUGGAGAAGAUCCACAUCCACGGUUGGAAAAGAACAGCAGUCUUAAGAAGUUAUUUGAAAGUGAACAGUGUGUAUUGGCUGUGGCGAUCAAUACGGAGGUUGGUUUGUGCCCUGUUGGGGCGGGUAAUAGAGAACAAUUGUGUAGCAAUAAAAUAAUGUUGGUUGUCAAUACUGGUAACGUGUGUUGUCGGCAACAGUGGUACUUGAGGCGUGACAGUGGUAAUAAGACAUUAGGUCUUCCGUAUUCUCCAUCUCAAGCAUUUGGAUUUGUGGGGACCGCUUGGGCUCAGUGCCUUCCUUGGCUAUCUACCUGACGUUCUUCAGGGGCAGCCCCACUUUAUAUCAGAGAAUGAAGCUCUACAUCGAGGACAUGUGAAAUCACGGCCAUCUCACUCUUUGCGCUGGGCAUGUGCUGCAUUUGACGAGUUGCAGCUGCAUCAGCAAAAGCUAAUGGAAUGGUCCUGUGGUCCUAUGAGUUUGGCCGUGCUGUAUUGGCUGUGGACUACAUGGCGUUUACCCUCCGUCUCACCUACAUCUUCGCCACAAUUAGUAUCCAAAGAAAAGUGUCAAAACUGCACACACAAAAAAAAGUGUUGUAAUUUUACCCGAUUUAAUAUUAUUUUCCCCUCCUGAUUGGCAGACGAAAGACAUGUUAUUUUUCCUCUUCUUCCUGGCGGUGUGGCUCAUGGCCUACGGCGUAGCCAAUUAGGAGCUGCUUUCCUCCUACGACCUUGGUCCUGGUUGGAUAUUUCGCAGUGUUCUACAGGCCAUACCUCCACAUAUUUGGAUAGAUCCCUAUACACAAAAUGUUUGGUGAAUGGACCAACCAGACCCUCAAGACUGCCAUGGGCAAGUCCCUUGAUUGCUACCAGAAAGGGUGGGAGAAAAACCUGAAGGUAAUUCUCUUUGCUCACAACAGCAGCAUCCAGGCCUCCACCGAAUACGGACGGGAACUGCAGCUGUUGACUGAGUUGUUGAACCAGAUCAGAACGCCUUCAAGGACCACCUUCAGGCACGGACUGAGAAGGAUGUGGAGGUUUUUGAUCAGGUUAGACUGAACAUGGACAGGGCGAAGGAGAAACAGAAGGAGAGCUACUGGAGCAGAAUCAAGAAGGGGACCAAGUGCUUCGACAUAUGGGCAAAUUACUUGGUUUGGAAGAAGGACAAAAAGAAGGCGAGACCUGGGAAACCUCGCAGCUCUUUCGCUCCUAGAUGGGGUCACUAUCUGAUAAAGUGAAUAUAAAAAAUCUUGGUGGAAGCCAACAAUCUUCUACAGUUGGAGCAGUUGGAUGGUCGGCCACUGAAAGCACUGACUUCAGUGAAGCCCAAUGCUGAGCAUAUAAAAAUGUACCUCUUCAAUUUACCUCUCCAAAUGACUUUAGGACCAUCGACUGUCCGAGAUUCUCAGGAGGUUUGGCAUCCACCAGAACCAGUGAGUUUGAAUCAGUCUGAUUCUCUGUGCUCUGAGUCGGAGGUGGACCAGCUUGAGGACCUAUGGGUUCUGCCCAACACCCAGACGUGGAUCCACCUGAUGUCCUCCAUUACCAACCACCCUCCAACUUUUCAUUACAUCAUCUACAGUUACUGUUGUUGUCAUUAUCUGCAAAGAAAGUUUUCUUGCUCUAUCACAUAAUAUGUGAGAUACACAGAUGAACUAAAAACACUAGCACUACAAACACUCAGAACAAAUAGAGAAGCAGUGCCUGCUUUUUGCAGACUCCCUCUUCAAGUCCCCCUUCCAAGACUGGCUGCCUGUUGAGAACAAGUGACAGGCAGAACCUCCCAUUCACACAGCAAGCACCUCCUCUUUAUUCCACACACAAGAAUUCAAUAUUAUAGUCUAUGAUUGCCAUGUGAGUGUACAAAAACAAUUAAUGACACAACUGUACUAAAAACUAUCAAAGUUUAUGUAUUUAAAUAUUGCCAGGUUGGUUUUCACAGGUGUGUCACAAGGUGCUCAUUAUUGUAAGUUGUAAGGUAUCAUUUGAUGGUAUUUAUUUGUUCCACAUUAUUCAUUGUUGUAUUUUAGGACCUACAAUAGAUACACUAACUCAGAAAAAAAAGAAACGUCCUCUCACUGUCAACUUCAUUUUGAAUGGCCCUAGCCCUCACCCUCCGAUCCGACAGGUCCCAGAUGUACUCAAUGGGA